GCCGGAGUGGCGGAAUGGCAGACGCAUCAGACUCAAAAUCUGACGAUAGCAAUAUCGUGUGGGUUCAAGUCCCACCUCCGGCACCA
Molecule: transfer RNA, 86 nt
Filed under: Veillonellaceae bacterium DNF00626
Lineage: Bacteria; Bacillati; Bacillota; Negativicutes; Veillonellales; Veillonellaceae
Description: tRNA-Leu
Rfam family: tRNA
About the family: Transfer RNA (tRNA) molecules are approximately 80 nucleotides in length. Their secondary structure includes four short double-helical elements and three loops (D, anti-codon, and T loops).
Source: RNAcentral